GAUGAAGAACGUAGCGAAAUGCGAUACUUGGUGUGAAUUGCAGAAUCCCGUGAACCAUCGAGUCUUUGAACGCAAGUUGCGCCCGAAGCCAUUAGGCCGAGGGCACGCCUGCCUGGGCGUCACACGUCGUUGCCCCCCCAUCUACUCCUUCGGGAUUGCGGGGGGCGGAUGAUGGCCUCUCGUGCGCCUCGUCGCGCGGUUGGCCUAAAUGCCAAGUCCUCGGCGACGCACGCCACGACAAUCGGUGGUUGCGAAACCUCGGUUGCCUGUCGUGUGCGGUCGUCGCGCAUCGAGGGCUCGAAAAAAUUGCCGGGCUCCGGCUCGGCUUUCAACGCGACCCCAGGUCAGGCGGGGUUACCCGCUGAAUUUAAGCAUAUCAAUAAGCGGAGGA
Molecule: unclassified non-coding RNA, 391 nt
Filed under: soil metagenome
Description: partial contains 5.8S ribosomal RNA, internal transcribed spacer 2, and large subunit ribosomal RNA
Rfam family: 5.8S ribosomal RNA (bases 1-122)
Source: RNAcentral